GUGGGGAAUCUUGCGCAAUGGGCGAAAGCCUGACGCAGCCAUGCCGCGUGAAUGAUGAAGGUCUUAGGAUUGUAAAAUUCUUUCACCGGGGACGAUAAUGACGGUACCCGGAGAAGAAGCUCCGGCUAACUUCGUGCCAGCAGCCGCGGUAAUACGAAGGGGGCUAGCGUUGCUCGGAAUUACUGGGCGUAAAGGGCGCGUAGGCGGACAGCUUAGUCAGAGGUGAAAGCCCAGGGCUCAACCUUGGAAUUGCCUUUGAUACUGGCUGUCUUGAGUUUGGGAGAGGUGAGUGGAACUCCGAGUGUAGAGGUGAAAUUCGUAGAUAUUCGGAAGAACACCAGUGGCGAAGGCGACUCACUGGCCCGUUACUGACGCUGAGGCGCGAAAGCGUGGGGAGCAAACAGGAUUAGAUACCCCUGUAGUCC
RNAcentral lists this ribosomal RNA (425 nucleotides) under uncultured bacterium. Its description in RNAcentral is "bacterial SSU rRNA". It matches the Rfam family "Bacterial small subunit ribosomal RNA", at positions 354 to 796 of the family's 1533-position model. The record is from RNAcentral.